This 237-nucleotide unclassified non-coding RNA is filed under the name uncultured fungus. RNAcentral describes it as "partial contains 18S rRNA, ITS1, 5.8S rRNA, ITS2 and 28S rRNA". Lineage: Eukaryota; Fungi. The record is from RNAcentral.
AAGGAUCAUUAAUGUAAGAGACAAUAGAGUUUUGAGACUGUGUCUUUAAUGGCAUGUGCUCGACUCUUCAUCUUUCAUCCACAUACACCUUUGUGCACCAUGGGAAAGGGGGGGUAGACCCUGAAAAAAGUCUCCCCCCUUUUCUUAUUUUUACAAUUAAACACCAGUUUUAAUGCAUGUUUUUAUUAUACUCUAAGGAGUAAAAUACAACUUUCAACAACGGAUCUCUUGGCUUUC